UUGAUAAAUAUGAAAGGAACAUAUCUUUCCCUAGGCACAAUGCCCUAAGAUUUCGAAGCUAUAACAAAUGCUGGAGUUGAUCCCAAGUUUUCAGUACAACCACCACCAGACUUCACUUGCAAGUUAAUAUACACCUUCACUUAUAAAUAUAUUGCUCCAUAUCUACAACAGAACAUUCUUGUAAACAUGGGUGAAAAAUGGUCCUCUCUGAAUUCUAAUUCCUUGGCAUCUUCUGGGAAGAGUGUGGCAUCUCAUCAGUGCGGUUGGUUUCAUUCAUUAGGUUAAAUCUCACCAUCUUUCUGAGGGACCAUCACAAAGGUUCCACCAGCAUUUUGUUCGUAGAGAGCUACCACAACUUAAGCUGUUCAAA
This 370-nucleotide long non-coding RNA is filed under the name Phoenix dactylifera (date palm). RNAcentral describes it as "long non-coding RNA (PDAC_LNC003139)". The record is from RNAcentral. Lineage: Eukaryota; Viridiplantae; Streptophyta; Magnoliopsida; Arecales; Arecaceae.